GACGAACGCUGGCGGCGUGCCUAAUACAUGCAAGUUGAGCGCUGAAGGUUGGUACUUGUACCAACUGGAUGAGCAGCGAACGGGUGAGUAACGCGUGGGGAAUCUGCCUUUGAGCGGGGGACAACAUUUGGAAACGAAUGCUAAUACCGCAUAAAAACUUUAAACACAAGUUUUAAGUUUGAAAGAUGCAAUUGCAUCACUCAAAGAUGAUCCCGCGUUGUAUUAGCUAGUUGGUGAGGUAAAGGCUCACCAAGGCGAUGAUACAUAGCCGACCUGAGAGGGUGAUCGGCCACAUUGGGACUGAGACACGGCCCAAACUCCUACGGGAGGCAGCAGUAGGGGAUCUUCGGCAAUGGGCGAAAGUCUGACCGAGCAACGCCGCGUGAGUGAAGGAGGUUUUCGGGUCGUAAAACUCUGUUGGUAGAGAAGAAAGUUGGUGAGAGUGGAAAGCUCAUCAAGUGACGGUAACUACCCAGAAAGGGACGGCUAACUACGUG
Molecule: ribosomal RNA, 497 nt
Filed under: uncultured bacterium
Lineage: Bacteria
Description: partial 16S ribosomal RNA
Rfam family: Bacterial small subunit ribosomal RNA
Source: RNAcentral